UUUUGGACAAUGGGCGAAAGCCUGAUCCAGCCAUUCCGCGUGAGUGAAGAAGGCCUUCGGGUUGUAAAGCUCUUUCGCCACCCCCAGAAACGAUGCAGUCGAAUAAACUGUGUUAAUGACGGUACCUUGAUAAGAAGCACCGGCUAACUACGUGCCAGCAGCCGCGGUAAUACGUAGGGUGCGAGCGUUAAUCGGAAUUACUGGGCGUAAAGCGUGCGCAGGCGGUUCUGUAAGUCAGAUGUGAAAUCCCCGAGCUCAACUUGGGAACCGCGUUUGAAACUACAAGACUAGAAUAUGUCAGAGGGGGGUAGAAUUCCACGUGUAGCAGUGAAAUGCGUAGAGAUGUGGAGGAAUACCAAUGGCGAAGGCAGCCCCCUGGGAUAAUAUUGACGCUCAUGCGCGAAA
This 405-nucleotide ribosomal RNA is filed under the name uncultured bacterium. RNAcentral describes it as "bacterial SSU rRNA". It matches the Rfam family "Bacterial small subunit ribosomal RNA", at positions 362 to 758 of the family's 1533-position model. The record is from RNAcentral.